UACGAGGGGGGCGAGCGUUGUUCGGAAUUAUUGGGCGUAAAGGGCGCGUAGGCGGUGCGGUAAGUCACCUGUGAAACCUCUGGGCUUAACUCAGAGCCUGCAGGCGAAACUGCCGUGCUGGAGUGUGGGAGAGGUGCGUGGAAUUCCCGGUGUAGCGGUGAAAUGCGUAGAUGAUCGGGAGGAACACCUGUGGCGAAAGCGGCGCACUGGACCACAACUGACGCUGAGGCGCGAAAGCGUGGGGAGCAAACAGG
Molecule: ribosomal RNA, 254 nt
Filed under: uncultured bacterium
Lineage: Bacteria
Description: partial 16S ribosomal RNA
Rfam family: Bacterial small subunit ribosomal RNA
Source: RNAcentral